RNAcentral lists this ribosomal RNA (222 nucleotides) under uncultured prokaryote. RNAcentral's name for it is "partial 16S ribosomal RNA". It matches the Rfam family "Bacterial small subunit ribosomal RNA", at positions 524 to 776 of the family's 1533-position model. The record is from RNAcentral.
UACGUAGAAGACUAGUGUUAUUCAUCUUUAUUAGGUUUAAAGGGUACCUAGACUGUAAUAUUAGCCCAAAAAAGGGUACAAUGUUACUAGAGUUUUAUAUGAAAAGGAGGAACUUAUGGAACAGAGAUCAUAUUUGUUUAUUUUAUAAGGACGGACAAAGGCGAAAGCUACCUUUUAUCUAAAAACUGACGUUGAGGGACGAAGGCCAGGGGAGCGAAUAGG